GCGAGUGAAGCGGGAAAAGCUCAAAUUUAAAAUCUGGUAGUCUUUGGCUGCCCGAAUUGUAGUCUGGAGAAGCGUCUUCCGCGCUGGACCGUGUACAAGUCUCUUGGAACAGAGCGUCGUAGAGGGUGAGAAUCCCGUCUUUGACACGGACUACCAGUGCUUUGUGAUGCGCUCUCAAAGAGUCGAGUUGUUUGGGAAUGCAGCUCAAAAUGGGUGGUAAAUUCCAUCUAAAGCUAAAUAUUGGCGAGAGACCGAUAGCGAACAAGUACCGUGAGGGAAAGAUGAAAAGCACUUUGGAAAGAGAGUUAAACAGUACGUGAAAUUGCUGAAAGGGAAACGCUUGAAGUCAGUCGCGUCGUCCAGAACUCAACCUGGCUUUUGCUUGGUGCACUUUCUGAACGACGGGCCAACAUCAGUUUUGACUGUCGGAAAAAGUCCUUAGGAAUGUGGCACCUCCGGGUGUGUUAUAGCCUUUGGUCGUAUACGAUGGUUGGGACUGAGGACCGCAGCACGCCUUAUGGCCGGGGUUCGCCCACGUACGUGCUUAGGAUGUUGGCGUAAUGGCUUUAAGCGAC
This 575-nucleotide ribosomal RNA is filed under the name Mycoacia gilvescens. RNAcentral's name for it is "partial 28S ribosomal RNA". It matches the Rfam family "Eukaryotic large subunit ribosomal RNA", at positions 89 to 648 of the family's 3401-position model. The record is from RNAcentral. Lineage: Eukaryota; Fungi; Basidiomycota; Agaricomycetes; Polyporales; Meruliaceae.